Molecule: ribosomal RNA, 1443 nt
Filed under: uncultured organism
Description: SSU rRNA
Rfam family: Bacterial small subunit ribosomal RNA
Source: RNAcentral
UAGCUACAGGCUUAACACAUGCAAGUCGAGGGGCAGCAUGGUCUUAGCUUGCUAAGGCCGAUGGCGACCGGCGCACGGGUGAGUAACGCGUAUCCAACCUGCCUUACACUCUUGGACAGCCUUCUGAAAGGGAGAUUAAUACAAGAUGUUAUCAUGAGUAAGCAUUUUCGCAUGAUUAAAGGUUUACCGGUGUAAGAUGGGGAUGCGUUCCAUUAGAUAGUAGGCGGGGUAACGGCCCACCUAGUCUUCGAUGGAUAGGGGUUCUGAGAGGAAGGUCCCCCACAUUGGAACUGAGACACGGUCCAAACUCCUACGGGAGGCAGCAGUGAGGAAUAUUGGUCAAUGGACGAGAGUCUGAACCAGCCAAGUAGCGUGAGGGAUGAAGGUUCUAUGGAUUGUAAACUUCUUUUAUACGGGAAUAAACGAAUCCACGUGUGGAUUUUUGCAUGUACCGUAUGAAUAAGGAUCGGCUAACUCCGUGCCAGCAGCCGCGGUAAUACGGAGGAUCCGAGCGUUAUCCGGAUUUAUUGGGUUUAAAGGGAGCGUAGAUGGGUUGUUAAGUCAGUUGUGAAAGUUUGCGGCUCAACCGUAAAAUUGCAAUUGAUACUGGCAGUCUUGAGUACAGUUGAGGUAGGCGGAAUUCGUGGUGUAGCGGUGAAAUGCUUAGAUAUCACGAAGAACUCCGAUUGCGAAGGCAGCUUACUAACCUGUAACUGACAUUGAUGCUCGAAAGUGUGGGUAUCAAACAGGAUUAGAUACCCUGGUAGUCCACACGGUAAACGAUGAAUACUCGCUGUAGGCGAUAUACAGUCUGCGGCCAAGCGAAAGCAUUAAGUAUUCCACCUGGGGAGUACGCCGGCAACGGUGAAACUCAAAGGAAUUGACGGGGGCCCGCACAAGCGGAGGAACAUGUGGUUUAAUUCGAUGAUACGCGAGGAACCUUACCCGGGCUUAAAUUGCAACCGAAUAUGGCGGAAACGCUAUAGCUAGCAAUAGCGGUUGUGAAGGUGCUGCAUGGUUGUCGUCAGCUCGUGCCGUGAGGUGUCGGCUUAAGUGCCAUAACGAGCGCAACCCUUGCCGAUAGUUACUAACAGGUCAUGCUGAGGACUCUGUCGGGACUGCCAUCGUAAGAUGUGAGGAAGGUGGGGAUGACGUCAAAUCAGCACGGCCCUUACGUCCGGGGCUACACACGUGUUACAAUGGGGGGUACAGAGGGCUGCUACCACGCAAGUGGAUGCCAAUCCCAAAAACCUCUCUCAGUUCGGAUUGAAGUCUGCAACCCGACUUCAUGAAGCUGGAUUCGCUAGUAAUCGCGCAUCAGCCACGGCGCGGUGAAUACGUUCCCGGGCCUUGUACACACCGCCCGUCAAGCCAUGGGAGCCGGGGGUACCUGAAGUGCGUAACCGCAAGGAGCGCCCUAGGGUAAAACUGGUGACUGGGGCU